Molecule: ribosomal RNA, 429 nt
Filed under: Gemmatimonadota bacterium
Lineage: Bacteria; Pseudomonadati; Gemmatimonadota
Description: Gemmatimonadetes bacterium partial 16S ribosomal RNA
Rfam family: Bacterial small subunit ribosomal RNA
Source: RNAcentral
UAGGGAAUCUUCGGCAAUGGACGAAAGUCUGACCGAGCAACGCCGCGUGAGUGAAGAAGGUUUUCGGAUCGUAAAACUCUGUUGUUAGAGAAGAACAAGGACGUUAGUAACUGAACGUCCCCUGACGGUAUCUAACCAGAAAGCCACGGCUAACUACGUGCCAGCAGCCGCGGUAAUACGUAGGUGGCAAGCGUUGUCCGGAUUUAUUGGGCGUAAAGCGAGCGCAGGCGGUUUCUUAAGUCAGAUGUGAACGCCCCCGGCUCAACCGGGGAGGGUCAUUGGAAGCUGGGAGACUUGGGUGCAGAGGAGGAGAGUGGAGUUCCAUGUGUAGCGGUGAAAUGCGUAGAUAUAUGGAGGAACACCAGUGGCGGAGGCGGCUCUCUGGUCUGUAACCGACGCUGAGGCUCGAAAGCGUGGGGAGCAAACAGG